GGGGAAUAUUGCCACAAUGGGGGAAACCCUGAUGCAGCAACGCCGCGUGAGUGAUGAAGGCCUUCGGGUUGUAAAGCUCUGUCUUCAGGGACGAUAAUGACGGUACCUGAGGAGGAAGCCACGGCUAACUACGUGCCAGCAGCCGCGGUAAUACGUAGGUGGCAAGCGUUGUCCGGAUUUACUGGGCGUAAAGGGAGCGUAGGCGGAUACUUAAGUGGGAUGUGAAAUACCUGGGCUUAACUUGGGUGCUGCAUUCCAAACUGGGUGUCUAGAGUGUUGGAGAGGAAAGUGGAAUUCCUAGUGUAGCGGUGAAAUGCGUAGAGAUUAGGAAGAACACCAGUGGCGAAGGCGACUUUCUGGACAAUAACUGACGCUGAGGCUCGAAAGCGUGGGGAGCAAACAGGAUUAGAUACCCUGGUAGUCCACGCCGUAAACGAUGGGUACUAGGUGUAGGGGGUAUCGACUCCCUCUGUGCCGCCGUUAACACAAUAAGUACCCCGCCUGGGGUUA
This 510-nucleotide ribosomal RNA is filed under the name uncultured bacterium. RNAcentral describes it as "bacterial SSU rRNA". It matches the Rfam family "Bacterial small subunit ribosomal RNA", at positions 356 to 881 of the family's 1533-position model. The record is from RNAcentral.